CCUGUUUCAAUCGAGCGUCCAACGCUGCCUGCUCAGGUAGGACUUCUGUUUUUAUUCCGUUCUUCUUCUUCUUCUUUUCCUGGCGCACUUGAGAUUCUUAUAUUCGAGAAAUUACAUGUCCUUAUGGGCUGGAUUGUUCACCUUUAGAUUUCCGCUACACAGUAUACAUUCCUAUGCUAAAUAUUUCCACUUUUAUGCAGGCCAGGAAAGAAAAGAUGCAUGUUUCGUUGGUUGAGGAUGUGUCAUCCUAGAGCUAUCAAUGGAAAAUUCUGGAAAGCUUGCAUUGCAUAUAUAUGGAAAUACAGGGACAGGACACGACAAAACAUAUAUGAGCUGAACUUUAUUGUUGUAGACCAUGAGAUUCGGCUCGAGUCUGUUAGGUAUAGCACUGUUUUAUCUCGGCGUGGUGAAGUCUUCCCGUUGAGAGAAAUAUUACAAAUAUUGGCAAAUCUGAGUAAAGAUCUAUUGCUCUUCAAGGUCAAGUCUAAAUUAGCAAAAUAACCCUUUUUGGAUGAUGGAAGAGCUUUAUACUACCCAUCUCCCAAACUCUAUACCUAUCGACACUCAUAUAUGAGAAAUAGAGUUUUGUCUUCUCCAAACUUUGGUUAAUAGUUCGCCUAACUAAGAAGUUUGAUUGAGAAGUGGACCGAGCAAGGAAACAUCAUGUUUGGGCUUCAGGGGAUGCUUAGUAUUUUUUUCCACAACAGCUUAUUUCAUCAGAAGAUUAGUUGAUGCCAGCCUUUAUUUUAGACUCAAGAUAUUCAGCUCACUAUCAUCACCGAGAGAGGCUAACUGAGACAGUCGGUGCUCUGUGUUGUUGAUUUCUAGGCGAGAUACUGAAAAUAAUGCAUUGCAGGAAGACCUAAAGAGCAGCCAGCGAGACGGUAAAAUCUGUCUGAAAUAGGCUUCGUUAUUGUUCACCAAGAGGGCAGCACAAUGAAGGCUAAGUACCAGCCAAUCAAAUAUACCAGUUCAGAGAAUACCUAAAAGAGGGUUCGAUCUAGAGAUUUGAAUCUGUUGUGUCCCAGAACCUGAACACUUUUCUCUAUUCGCGUAUAGCGCAAAACUGCAUUAUCAUUGAGCACGAAUGAGGUGCAUUUGUGGAGGACGCAUUUGUGGAGGACGACGAUAUUGUGAAAGGUG
Lolium perenne is the source of this 1143-nucleotide non-coding RNA. The record is from RefSeq and is a predicted model, not a curated record. NCBI's taxonomy places the organism in Eukaryota, Viridiplantae, Streptophyta, Magnoliopsida, Poales, Poaceae.